RNAcentral lists this long non-coding RNA (41371 nucleotides) under Pelobates cultripes (western spadefoot toad). Lineage: Eukaryota; Metazoa; Chordata; Amphibia; Anura; Pelobatidae. The record is from RNAcentral.
AUUUGCUUCCCUUUACGUGGCCCCAUUCCUACAUUUGCUCUUCAACCGAGUAGUUUUUUUAUCUUCCUGAGUCGGCAGUUUAGAUAGCUAAUGCGCAAUUGUUUAAUCCAGGACUUGCUUAAAAUAACUUUAAACAAUUUAAAAGGUAAGAUACAUAACAAAUCCUAGGAUUUAUAUGAUUUACAACAAUGAUGUAGUUUCUGCUGGAACAUAGAAGAAUUCAUUUUUUACUAAUGAAACGACAAUGCUUUAGUAUAGUAGCGGUUUUAGUACAACGCUUAACUACUAGGACAAGUAUAAAAAUCUAAGGACAGUUAUAGUUGUCUCGUCUCAUAGGAUCACUGCUAAAUGUUUAAAAUUGUAUAGUUGUUACAUGAUUGGGUGAAAUUUGUAAAUUCCUAAAUUGUGAAUUCGGAAAAUUUAGCAGCCAGGGUGUGACCAUAAUUGAUUUGAGAAUAUAUAUAUAAUUUUUUGUAAAUCACCUAUUUUCUGUUUAAUUCUUGCAAUUUGUUCCCUUUUUUACAUUAUUAAAUGGAUAACACCUCUGGGCAUUUUAAAGAUACUAAGCUCAUGAAACUAAAGUACAAUGAAGCAUUUCAAAUGCGAUUUAGUAAUAUAACUAAAUUUAUUAAAGAUUCACUAAUCAAUUUUAAAAUAAAAUGUUAUAACCUUUCCUUAUAAUUACCAUAUAAGAUUGAUGAAGCAGUGGAAUAAAUAGAAUUUGGUAUUAAAUUUAGUGAAAUGUGUGCCUAAGUGACUGAGGAUGAUUAUUUAAAAUCUGUGUCUAUUAAAAUGCUAAAUUGCACAGGGUAGUUUAAAUGAAAUGCCAUUAAUGUUAAAAAAAAAAAAAUAGGGUAUAAUUCAAUUGAAACACAAAAACAAUAGCAUUAUGUUUAUUUAAAACCUAGUUUCCAUAGUGGGAACAGGAACUUAGGGUAAAAGAGGAAUUUUGUUUAUAGAUGGCUAUCAAAGGAUGCAUAAGUAAUAAAAGUAUAAUGUACGUUGAUUUUUUUUUUUUUUUUGUAUUUCAUCUUUUACAUAAAUAUUCGGUGGCUAUAUGUUCAUAGAUAUAACAGCAAAAUAUAAAAAUAAUGUCUGUAUAUAGGUAUAAUUUCAAGGCAAAGCAGGUACCGCAGUACCAAUAGUAAUUAUGUGUGGUAAGUAGGGUUUUGCAAAUGUCUCACAUUAUUCCUCUUUUUACUUUGUCCCUGAUUUUUAAAAUUAAUUUUGAAAAGUUCAAAUUGAAACUCUCUUAUUGCGUUGGAGGAUGGAAGAGGAUGCUACAGUUUUAAGUCUCCUUGCAGAGGUAUUAACGUACAAAAUGUACAAAAUGAGUAUCCACUCGAGUAUCCUAUCUCUUUAACCCCUUAAGGACACAGCUUCAGAAGCUGGACAUACUCUUAAAGACACAAGCAAUAUUUGCAUUUUUUGCUGUUUGUGUUCAACUGUAAUUUGCAUCUCUCAUUUAUUGUACCAACAGAUAUUAUAUACAGUUUUUUUAGACAACAAAAAGGACUCUAAUUUGAUGUGACAUAUACAUAUAUAAAUUUUCAUUUAUUACAAAAAAAUGCUAAAUAAUGUGGAAAAAAGUUUUGGCAAUAAUAAUGUGUGCAUAAUAUGUCCAGCUUAGGAAAAGUAAUUCAAAAUCAAUUCAUUUAUGUGUCUUGAUUUACAAAGUACAUAAUAUGUGCAGGAUUUCAGUUUAUUUUGAAAGUUACAGGUCACAAACUACAAGUUCUAAAAUAAAAUUUCAAUGUGAAACAAUUUUAGUAGUUGGUAUGUUUGUCUUGGAAGUUUAAUACCCAUUCCAGGAAACAAAAUUGCCACACACAAUUAUAUAUUUAUAUAAAGUAGACAUCACAGGCUAUUUACUUAAGGUUAGUCUGACACUCUUUGCGUAGCCAUUUCACCGCCAAUCUCUGCUAAAUAUUGGAGUAAAAUUGUGUUUUUUCUCUAUUUUGGCAAAUACACAUAUAACAAGGUUUUUGUAAUGUGUAUUUCGUAAACCUAGUGUGUGCUAUCCCAUAUUAUGUUCAGCUACAUCUGCAGAGUACAUCGAUGCCCCCAUUGUAUACCUUUGCCUCUAUUCUGUGAAACUACAAUGCCAUAUAGGAGACCAUGCUAUUUCAGUUUCUAUAGUUGGAAUUUUCAUAGAUGGUCAUAUGUCUGAUUUUGUGGCAUUAUAGCCAUUUGACUGUUCAGAUAACCCCACAAAGGCCUUCCAUUUGAGAGAGCAGACACUCCAGGGUAUAUUAGGCAUAUAUUAUACCUUAACCUGCCACCAUUUUUUCACCAAUUUAUUUCAAAUUUUGUGGUUUUUUACAUACAUGUUGCAUUUUCGCUGGGUAUUUCUUGCAUUUGAUAAGUGCCACUGUCAUAAAUUCCCCCUAAGUAUGCUCAGUUACAUCUUCUGAGUAAAACAAUAAGCCCAAUGUAUGACCUAGACACUAUUUUGUGAAGUUACAGUGCUGUGAAAGAGACGUGACACGUUCAGGUUUUUAAGUGUGAAUUUACAUGGAGAGUUUUAAUGGGUCCGUAUUCUAUUUUUAAAUAUGUUAGCAGGCUGCUUUAAUUUUUCUGUUAGCUUGUAUCAAAUGUAGUGUUAAUAAGCAUUUUUUUUUCUGCCUUUUUGACACACAGUGAGUUUGUACUGUAUAUUUUGCAAACCUUAUGUGUGCUACGGCUUUAUAAUACUUUAUAUGUUGCUCAGCUAUGUUGUCUGAGUACAGAAAUUCCCCCGUAUAUACCUUUGCCAGGUAUAUGUGGACAUUGAAGGGGCACAUUUCAGACACAGCCAUUGCAGGUUUUUUCAAACUUUGAAUUUUUACGCUGUGUUGCUACCCCACUUUGGAGUUUAGCAGACUAUAUGUUCCAACUAUCCCAUAAAAGCAUACUAUUUCUUAAAGAAGACAUCCCAGGGUAUUUCAAAAGGCAUAUUUUGAACCUUAGCGUGGGAUCAUUUUUCCGCUAGCUUGUACCAAGUGUAGUGGAAAUAAGCGUUUUUUCUGCUUUUUUGACACACACAGUGAGUUUGUACUGUGUAUCUUGCAAACCUUAUGUGUGCUACGGCUAAAUAAUACUUCCUAUCUUGCUCCGCUAUGUCGUCUGAGCACAGCAAUACCCCCAUAUAUACCUUUGCCCGGUAUAUGCGGUUAUUGAAGGAGCAUAUUUGAGACACAGCCAUUUAAGUUCUUUCAAACUUUACAUUUUUACGCUGUGUCCAUACCUCAUUUUGGAGGUUUAUUUUGUAGGUUAAUUAUUCCAGCUACCCCAUAAAGGCAUACCAUUUCUUAAAGAAGACACGCUAGGGUAUUUCAAAAGAUGUAUUUUGAACCUUAGUGUGAAAUAAUGUUUCCGCUAGCUUGUACUAAGUGUAGUUGUAAAAAGCAUUUUUUUCUGCUUUUUUGACACACAUAGUGAGUUUGUACUGAAUAUUUUGCAAACUUUAUGUGAGCUAUGGCUAUAUAAUACUUCCUAACUUGCUCAGCUAUGUUGUCUGAGCACAGCAAUACCCCCAUAUGUACCUUUGCCAGGUAUAUGCGGAUAUUGAAGGGGCACAUUUGAGACACAGCCAUUUAAGUUUUUUCAAACUUUACAUUUUUACGCUGUGUCCAUACCCCAAUUUGGAGGUUUAAUUGUAUGUUAAUUAUUCCAGCUACCCCAUAAGGGCAUACCAUUUCUUAAAGAUGACACCCUUGGGUAUUUCAAAAGACGUGUUUUGAACCUUAGAUUGAAAUAAUGUUUCCGCUAGCUUAUACCAAGCCUAGUGGUAAUGAGCAUUUUUUAUGCCUUUUUGACAUACUUAAUGAGUUUGUAAUAUAUAUUUUGCAAACCUUAUAUGUGCUACAGCAGUAUAAUACAUCAUAUGUUGCUCCGCUAUGUUAUCUGAGUAAAGCAAUAACCCCAUAUGUACCUUUACCAGGUAUAUGACAACGUUGAAAGGGCACAUUUGAGACACAGCCAUUUAAGUUAGAAUUUUUAUGCUGUGUCCAUGCCCCACUUUGGAAUUUUUUUUAAUAGGUUGUGUUUUCCAAUUACUUCACAAAGGCAUACCAUUUCCAAAAGAAGACACCCCAGGGUGUUUCAAAAGGCAUAUUUGAAACCUUAGCGUGGUAUCAUUUUUUCGCUAGCCUGUACCAAGUGUAGAGGUAAUAUGCAUUUUCCCCCUUUUUAAAACAUUUUUUUUUUUAACUUUUUAAAAGUUUAUUUUAGCUUUUAUACAAAAAAUAUUUUUAUGUACAAGCACUCUGUUAUCCCUGUUGGUGCAAAGUAUCGAGGUGGCCAGAAUACCUCAAAAUAUACAAAAUACAAGAAAAUGAUACUGCACUCACAAGUUCAAUAUAGAUUUCAUUGCUAAAUUUAAUGAAUCAUUAGUGAAUUCAUUAUCUUACGUAGAUAUAAUUCAUUAAUCAAGUAUGUUUUAAAGUCUGAAAAAUUGAUAAUAUAUACACGCUUAAAUUAGAAAUAUGUACAAGUGAGUAAAUUUAGUAGAAACAAAGCAUUAUGAGUCUACUGCUGUGACUUCAUGUUAACUAUAAGAGUCCCUGACCAUGAUAUUAAAUAGCUGUAUCAGAUAUUCCAAAAAGUCAUAUCAUCCAGAGAAAAACCGGAUAAGUGGGAAAAAGGGGGAAAAAACAAAAAAUAUCAAAAAAGUUCCUUUCAAAAAAUCAGAAAAAAAGAAAAAAGGAAAAAAAGUAAGUAUAUACAGUCCCAGUGUGUACACACUAUAAAGUAUGGGUGGAUCUCACCAGUGGAGGUAUAAAUUCUGUUGUCCAGUAUCUUUUAGUGUAAAGGUGAAUCCCUGUAGUUGUAGUUCCUCUUUUCUUCUUCUUUUGCAGGUAGUGUAUAUAGAACAGUUCCUCACUUAUUCCUCAUUGAUCCCUGAGGUGCCAAUAUGUAUGCUUUGUUAGCUGGUGCAGGGUCUCCUGUGCGGGCUGCGCGCUCGGGAUGUAGAUAAAUCCCUUCAAUGGCCCUGUCAGAAAAAAGCAGUAUGAGUCCCAUACUUAUAUGUAGUAUGGCGCGCCCGCCUGGUGUAAAUUUUUAAAGAACAGUGAUGUACAUUUAAAAAAAGGGAAUCAUUUUAACAUGAAGUAUUAGCUGUAAUGAAAUUUUUAUCCAAUAAAGGGAUAUUGAUCAUAUUUGUAUAUAUAUAUAUAUAUAUAUAUAUAUAUAUAUAUAUACUUAGGGGUUAUUUAUACCUAAGGGGGCUAGAGAAGAUCAUCAUUUUCAUACAAGAAAGGAGGAGUUAGGGUCAAUAGUAUACUGUGGCUCAUAGAGAGUCUAACGUUAAUUGGAAUAGCUAUGCUUCUAAUAAUUAGAACCCCAAUUUCAUAUUCAUGAUUUAAUUGUAAUGUGUAUAGAAUUUUACUUCAGAAAUAUAGUCACUAAUGUAAGAACCAUCCCUUCAAAAAAUGCCAAUACCUAAUCCAAUGAAUGUGAAGUAAUUAAAAGCUCAAGAUAUAGUAUGAUUACAACAGUUAAUCAGCGGUGACCAUUCACCCGUUUAGAUACAGGGCGGACUGGCCCACCGGGAUACCGGGAAAUUUCCGGCACCUGGGGGCCGGCCGUGUUCCUGGCUGGAGCCGCCGGGCCGGGUGGCAGCUUCCCCGGUCCCGCGGCCCUGCUCCUCUAACUGCUGUGGCUGAUGGAGGAGGAGCAUGUCUCUGUACCAUGCUCCCUCGCGGUCCCGGCACAGAGACAUGCUCCUCCUCCAUCAGCCACAGCAGUGACAGGACAGAGGAAGCUGCCACCCGGCCCGGCGGCUCCAGCCAGGAACGCGGCCGGCCCCCUGACUUGUCCAGGUAAAGGGGGGGUGGAGAGGGGAAUAGAGGGAGGAGGGAGAGACACAGGGAAAGGGAGAGAGAUGGGGAGGGACACAGGGAAAGGGGGCAGGGAGGGAGGAGGGGAAAGACACAGGGAAAUGGGGAAGGAGAGAGAUAGGGAGAGACACAGGGGAGAGGGAGAGAGAUGGGGAGGAGGGGAGAGACACAGGGAAAGGGGGGAGGGAGAGAGAUGGGGAGGAUGGGAGAGACACAGGGAAAGGGGGGAGGAAGAGACACGGAAAGGGGGUGAAAGAGGCAGAGGGGGAAGAGAGAGACAAAGAGGGAGAAAUGAGAGAGAGACACACAAGGGGAGGGGAAGAAAGAGGCAGAGGGGGAAGAGAGAGACUUGGAAGGAAAGGGGAGACAUUGACACAGAGGAGCAGUGAGGGGGAGAAAGAAACAUACAGAGUGACUGGGGGAGACAAAAAGGCACGGCCGAUCUCCCUUCCCGUUCCACAGGCACCGUGCAGCCAGUCGGCAGGGGAGGGCAAUGCUCCAGCUCUCACAAGGGUGAACUCUAGCCCUGGAGCUAUGGGCUAGAGUUCACUCUCACCACUUCCUGGUGGUCCCAGUAGUAGAAGUGAACUCUAGCCUCAUACACACAUUGCCCCACACACACACCAUACACAUUCACACACUGCCCCCACACACACACACCAUACACAUUUACACACUGCCCACCCACACACUGAACCUUUCACACACAUUGCACCACUGCUCCUAUACCCUACUACAGCCCCAUAUCCCAGCAGACUCCAGGUAAGUUGUCAAAAUGUUGUUAAACGGUUUGACGACUUACUCUGGGAGGGGGUGCCGACGCUCCUGGCACCAUAACCACUACACAGAGGAGUAGUGGUUAUUGUGCAUGGAAUAUUUCUUUAAAUAAUCUACAAGUGCCCCUCUCAGGCUCAGGCUCUGGAUCCGCCACUAGUAUAUGACAUGUAUAUUAAUGUGUGUAUUAGUUUUAUAUAUAUAUAUAUAUAUAUAUAUAUAUACCUAUUAUAUUUACACAUAUUAAUGUACAUUUAUAAAUGCAUAAUACACAGAGAAAUUUCAUUAAUAUGUACCAUAUGUAAUGAGCAGAUAUUGGCCCAGUCUUGUUGCUAGGUGCAUACUCCAGCACAAUAACAUAUUUAAAGUGAAGAGCACACCCACAGGACUUCAAAAUAAACAUUUUUUACAGUUGUGCCCUACAUACAUUCACCAUUUCAGUCCCAUUAACAAGCUUUCCUUAAUAUGUCAAGGUAGUUGGACUGAAACAUUGAUUACAUGCAAAGGCACGUCUGCUUAAAAUAAAUCUGCACUUUUGUUUAUUUUGAAGCCUAUGGGUGCGCUUUUUACGUUGAAGUACUUUUUAAUUUUAAGUUAUCUGUUCUAACUCUGUAUCUGCACACUAUGCUGGCGCGACGCAUUAUGGGGAUGGUAAAUAUUUUUUUUCCAGGGCUGCUUUUAAUUCCCAGUCCGGCCCUGUUUAGAUAUCAUAUUUUUAUUAAUGUUUGUGAAUUUAUUGUUGCAUACUCACCAGCAGUGUAGUGUGUGAAAAAUGCAUGUGGUUUCUCGCACGUUGGACCCCAUGAUUUCCCGGGUAACGGACCACAAGAUGGUCAAACUCUUUAAUAGCUCUUAAGUAGUAAAAGUGACAGGCAUGCCAUAUAGGGUCCCAAUGUCUAGCUGUGGAUAUAAAAUAAUACAUUAGCCCAAGUUAAUGGACCAAAGGUAGAAAGGUUGAACAGUAUCCUAAGUCGUCCUUCAAAAAAUGUUUGAGGUCAUAGUCCUCAUUCAAGCCAUUCGGGUGGAGUGUUUCCAGAAUACUAAUCCACUUUGUCUCUUUGCAUAAAAGUGCUUUUUGUCUGUCUCCACCUCUACGCAACGGUUUAACACCAUCAAUUACCUGAAAUCGUAAUUGAUUGACAUUAUGACCAUGCUGUAGGAAAUGCCUUGGUACUGGUUUGUCACACGUCCCUUUCUGUAUGGCAGCUCUUAUGUCCCUCUUAUGUUCUCCUAUGCGUAUUUUCACUGGCCUAAUAGUUUCCCCAACAUAGAGAAACCCACAUGGGCAUUUCAGAAUGUAAACCACAUAUUCUGAGUUGCAAGUGUAAUAUUCAAGUAUUUUAAAGGGUUUGCCUGAUCUCGGAUGUACAAAAUGAUCACCCCUGAUUACAAUGUAUACAGUUUAGGCACGGGAAUGUGCCUUUCUUCAGAGGUUCAGAGAAAAAUCUUCUCUGUUUUUUGUUGCUGCCUAUGUCUGAGUGCACUAAUUUAUCCCUAAGAUUCUGUGCCCGUUUAUACGAGAACAGUGGAGGAUUCCUAAAUUCAACUGGUAAAUUAAGAUCGCCCUCAAAGAUGUUCCAAUGCUAUAAUAUGAUCUUUUUAACAGCAUUACUAUAAGGCGUGUAUGGGGAUAUAAACGGAAUUCUUUGUAUAGUGUCCUUAUUUCUGCCCAUAGGGUUAAGUACUUCUCCCCUGUUCAUAUCUGUUAUCCUGGCUCUGUGUCGUGUCACUAGUUCUAAUGGCUAACCCCUAUCAAUGAAUUUAUUGCACAUGUACUCCAUCCCUGGUUCUACACGAUCUUCCUGUGAGAUUAUUCUUUUCACUCUCAGCAUUUGGCUGUAUGGUAAGCCAUCCCUAAGAUGUUGGGGAUGGAAGCUGGUGUAUUCCAAAAGAUUAUUUCUAUCAGUAGGUUUUGUGUAAAUGUCUGUGUACAGUUUAUUGUCAAUCAGGUGUACCUGGGUAUCCAGGAAUGGAACCAUGUGUCUAUCACAGGCCAUGGUGAAUUUGAUGUUAGGGUCCAGGGAGUUCAAUUGGUCAAACAAAUUGUCCAACUGGACCCUCGUCCCCCCCCAACAUACAAACACAUCGUCAAUGAACCUCUUCCACGUGAGGCAUUUCUCAAAAAGUGGAGUGGUGUAUAUGUAUAGUUCCUCCAACUUAUUCAUAUAUAUUUUCGCAUAAGUGGGGGCUACAUUCGAGCCCAUUGCUGUCCCUUUGAUUUGCCUAUAAAAAUUAUCUUCAAAAAGAAAAUAAUUCUCAGUCAGGACAAACCGUAGUAGUUCCAAUAUGUAUAUCUUGGUAUCCAAAGAUUGGGUUAAUAUUGGGUCCUGAUCUAAUGUCCACUCGACUGCUCGUAGUCCCCCUAUAUGAUCAAUAGCUGUAUAUAAUGAUUGUACAUCUAGCGUGACCAGCCAAACCUCUGUGGAAUGUUCAAUAUUGAGGUUGUCAAUUAAUUUAAAAAAAUCAUUUGUGUCCUUAAUAUAUGAUUUUUGUUUUGAAAUGUACUUGAUCAAGAAUUUAUCUAACAUUACUGCUGGUGGUUGUAAGAUGGAGUCCAUACCACUGACUAUGGGCCUUCCUGGUGGGGUCUGUAAAUUUUUGUGUAUCUUUGGGAGAGUAUAGAAGACAGGUGUUGUUGGAUAUUUUUUGGACAUGUAUUUAUAUUCUCCCUCAGUGAUAAUGCCUUUGUCCAUGGCUACCCUAUUUAGUGUCUGUAAUUCUCUCUGUAACCGCUGGAUGGGAUUCCCAUCCACUGGUUGAUAACUGAAUAUGUCAUUCAAUUGUGAUCUAAUCUCCUUGACAUAGUAAUCCCGAUCCAUGAUGACAAGUGCCCUACCCUUAUCUGCUGGUUUGAUGAUAAUCGAAUUGUCCUCUCUGAGUGUAUUGAGUACCUGCCAAUCUUUCUUAAUGAAGUUGGGUUUAUGCUGAAAAUUUCUACUCUUCCCCUGUUGUUUUCAUCUCAGUUUCUUAAUAUCUUUUUUGAUUAAAUUAGAAAAUAUAUCUAUAGACUGAUUGAAUAUGUAGGGUGUGAAUGUGCUGUUUGGUUUCAAACCAAAGUGGUAAUGAUAAAGCAGGCGUUGAUGGUGUCGGUUGGUGUGUCUCUAUAUUCUCUUGUCCGUAGAUAUUGGUCUGGGCUAAAGUAGUUCUGUGGAAAUUCUCCAUAGUCGUCAUUGACGUGGAGCUGAUAGGACCACCUUCCAUGUCUGUAUUAAAAAAAUAUGCUUUUAGUUUUAAUUGUCUCAAAAAUUUGUAUAUAGACACAUCAUAUUCAUGCCAUUGUGGUAUGGGGGUGGGAACAAAUGAUAGACCCUUAUUCAGUACUAAUUCUUCCUGUGUGCUUAAUGGCCUACCUGAUAAGUUGUAUAUUAAUUUUCCGCCUGCUGGUUGGUAACUUCGCUCUCCUUCUGUCCUGUGUGCUUCUUGUGGUAACCCCCCCUCCCGACUGGUCUCUAAUCCUGGGUGUCCCCUAAAAAAGUGGUUCCAAAAGAGGAGGAGGCAGAGGAGGAUGUAGAUGGUGCAUCCGAGUCCUGUUGCCAUUUCGUGUUGGAACUUCCUUUAUUCACCCUGUAUUGUCUAAAUUUUUUUGACCAAUUGAACUCCCUGGACCCUAACAUCAAAUUCACCAUGGCCUGUGAUAGACACAUGGUUCCAUUCCUGGAUACCCAGGUACAUCUGAUUGACAAUAAACUGUACACAGACAUUUUUCACAAAACCUACUGACAGAAAUAAUCUUUUGGAAUACACCAGCUUCCAUCUCCAACAUCUUAGGUAUGGCUUACCAUAUAGCCAAAUGCUGAGAGUGAAAAGAAUAAUCUCACAGGAAGAUCGUGUAGAACCAGGGAUGGAGUACAUGUGCAAUAAAUUCAUUGAUGGGGUUACCCAUUAGAACUAGUGACACGACACAGAGCCAGGAUAACAGAUAUGAACAGGGGUGAAGUACUUAACCCUAUGGGCAGAAAUAAGGACACUAUACAAAGAAUUCCGUUUAUAUCCCCAUACACGCCUUAUAGUAAUGCUGUUAAAAAGAUCAUAUUAUAGCAUUGGAACAUCUUUGAGGGCGAUCUUAAUUUACCAAUUGAAUUUAGGAAUCCUCCACUGUUCUCGUAUAAACGGGCACAGAAUCUUAGGGAUAAAUUAGUGCACUCAGACAUAGGCAGCAACAAAAAACAGAGAAGAUUUUUCUCUGAACCUAAGAAAGGCACAUUCCCGUGCCUAAACUGUAUACAUUGUAACAGUAUAAUCAGGGGUGAUCGUUUUGUACAUCCGAGAUCAGGCAAACCCUUUAAAAUACUUGAAUAUUACACUUGCAACUCAGAAUAUGUGGUUUACAUUCUAAAAUGCCCAUGUGGGUUUCUCUAUGUUGGGGAAACUAUUAGGCCAGUGAAAAUACGCAUAGGAGAACAUAAGAGGGACAUAAGAGCUGCCAUACAGAAAGGGACGUGUGACAAACCAGUACCAAGGCAUUUCCUACAGCAUGGUCAUAAUGUCAAUCAAUUACGAUUUCAGGUAAUUGAUGGUGUUAAACCAUUGCGUAGAGGUGGAGACAGACAAAAAGCACUUUUAUGCAAAGAGACAAAGUGGAUUAGUAUUCUGGAAACACUCCACCGGAUGGCUUGAAUGAGGACUAUGACCUCAAACAUUUUUUGUAGGACGACUUAGGAUACGACAGCACUGUUCAACCUUUCUACCUUUGGUCCAUUAACUUGUGCUAAUGUAUUAUUUUAUAUCCACAGCUAGUCAUUGGGACCCCAUAUGGCAUGCCUGUCACUUUUAUUACUUAAGAGCUAUUAAAGAGUUUGACCAUCUUGUGGUCCGUUACCCGGGAAAUCACGAGGUCCAACGUGCGAGAAACCACAUGCAUUUUUCACACACUACACUGCUGGUGAGUAACAUGCAACAAUAAAUUUACAAACGUUAAUAAAAAUAUGAUAUCUAAACGGGUGAACGGUCACCGCUGAUUAACUGUUGUAAUCAUACUAUAUCUUGAGCUUUUAAUUACUUCACAUUCAUUGGAUUAGGUAUUGGCAUUUUUUGAAGGGAUGGUUCUUACAUUGGUGACUAUAUUUUUGAAGUAAAAUUCUAUACACAUUACAAUUAAAUCAUGAAUAUGAAAUUGGGGUUCUAAUUAUUAGAAGCAUAGCUAUUCCAAUUAACCUUAGACUCUCUAUGAGCCACAGUAUACUAAUGACCCUAACUCCUCCUUUCUUGUAUGAAAAUUAUGAUCUUCUCUAGCCCCCUUAGGUAUAAAUAACCCCUAAGUAUAUAUAUAUAUACAAAUAUGAUCAAUAUCCCUUUAUUGGAUAAAAAUUUCAUUACAGCUAAUACUUCAUGUUAAAAUGAUUCCCUUUUUUCAAAUGUACAUCACUGUUCUUUAAAAAUUUACACCAGGGAAUCUUGACAGGUGUAUAGUCGCCAUUUUGGGCAGUCGGAAUCCAGGACAAUUACCCCAUAACCUAACCCAAUAACACACGGACACUAAGGGAUAUGGGGAAAUUUGUCCACAGCUUUAUUAAGCAAACAAUAAUAAUAACAACAAUAAUAAUAAUAAUAACUUAACAAGUAAAACAUGGGUCAUUGCCCCCCAUACUCCGCCCUCGCAUCCUAUUCCUUCCAUUAACAUAUAAAGGGCAAUGACCCCCAUGUAAAUAAACAUAUAUAUAUAUAACAUACAUCAACAUUAUUCCAAUCGAUGUAAAGUGCCAACCAUCCAUUAGCCACGGCAGGGGUAUACCCGGAUACCCCUACCCCACCAGGUUCUGAGCCACCGACAGGACUCGAAACCUAUCAACCACCGAUGACCACCACUUGUUUAUUUUCCAUUACGUUCAUCCUGGGGAGCCUAUUUCCUUUCCUUCAGCUCCCCAUCCCGCCAUAAGCUCAGACCUUGACCCCUUAAGCCGUCUGAGCUCCGCCACCCCGAAGAAAUAGCGCCCGCUGCAUACCAACCUGCCAACCCAAGUUUAGCAGAUCCCAACCCACCUCAGAAAGAUGAACCCCGUCCGAGCGGUAGUACCCCGGCAACCCCUCUUCCAACUCGCCGUGCCGUACCACCACGCCCCCCACCUUCCUAACAAAGCUUGCCAUCAGGCUGUUCACUUUUUUCCUGCACUGAUUGAUAGCCACCGGAUCCCGGGCGUGCCGCCACCGACACCUAGGGACAAUCUCUGACCACACUAACAUAACCCCCGGAAGCAGGUCCCUCAGUUUGUUGAUGUCCUGCUUCAUCCAUUUUACCAACCGGCGUGAGGCCCAAGUCAUUACCCCCGGCAUGAAGGACCACCAUGUCCGGCGCUUUUCCGUCCGUAACCAUCCUAAACAUUGCCCCACAAACCUCCCCCCAGCAAAAUCCCCGGUACCCGAACCACCGGACUGCCAACUGGUCCUUCAGAAAGCCCAGCUGCUGGCCUUGCGUUCGAGCUGCGGCCCUCCUCUCGGCCCAGAAGACAAAAGAAUGUCCCACAAUCCAAGCAACCCUUCUUGGGGAGAAGAAGAAAACAAGCGUGAGGGAAAGGCAAAGGGAAACUCCUCCGUUCAUGCCCGCCCCCGUACCUUAUAUAUACAUAUACAUAUACAUACAUGUACACACACUUUUUUUUUUUUUUUUUAAUAUUAUUAUUAUUCCAAUAAGCCCAACCGUACAUAUGAACGGAACCGCACCGACGCCCAUCUCCCUAUGCGCUUCACGACCUCAUCUCCUAGUCCCAACCGUGCGGCCUCCGUGGCUGCCCCUAUGCGAAAGGAGUGAGUACCGAAACGUCCGGCCGGAAGCCCCAACUUACCUAGCCCAGACCGAAAAACCUUCGUAAACUGAAAUCGGGACAGGGAAGAACCAUCCGUAUGCACCAAGAAGGAACCCCCUACCGCCGGCCUCCGGGCCAUGUACUCCGCCACUGCAGCCACCGGGCACAAUACUGCGCCCGGCAGUGCCCAUAGUGUCAUGUCCCGACCCACGCCGCGGACGUCUGUUUUUGACUUACCCAGAUGCACAACCACCUUACCCUCCAAAACACGAACCCCCGAGGCCUGCAAACCCCCGGGCAUGACCCUACUGGCACUCACUAGCUCCCCCACGCGGAACGCCCCGAAGAAUGCCAAGAGAAAGGCCGCUCUGAACAAAGAGACCUCGAACCCGUUGAAACAAAUUUCCGGCAACAGACCCACCAGAUCCCCCAACACCCGUACAGACACCGGGCGCCUAGAGUCACAUGACCUGCGGCGCUUUCGAUAACCCUUUAACGCCUGUCGAACUAAGAAGGUCUUGGUCAGAUCCUCCUUCCCGCGCCACCGGAACCAGAAUGCCAUUGCCGCCAUGGACCUGUCGACCACUGCCGGGGACGCCCCCUUUGCCAGCAAUUGACAGGUGUACCACAGAAAAGCGUCCCGCAGCGCAUCCCCUUGUAAGACAUGAUCCAACCCGUCUAAUGACCGUUCCCAAGAGUCCCAGACCUUACUGUAGGAGGCCCAUGUGGCCGGUGCCAGUGAAGCCUUCACAAGUCCCCCAAGCAGGAUGCUCCCAGCUGCCAUAUCUCGUCCGGGCACGCCUGCCCCUCCUUCAAUGCCCCUGGCGCCAUCGUCCAAAAUCGGGACCACUGAAAACGAGACAGAGCGUCAGCCACUUCGUUCAGGUACCCAGGGACAUGACACGCGCGAAAAACAACAUUCCGUGACAUACACAUUAACACAAAGCGCCGCAGCAACCUAACCACUGGCUUAGAGGCAGCCGAUUGAUUAUUCACUGCGUGCACCACCGCCAUGUUAUCCGAGAAAAAGACCACUUUCUGGUCCCGGAGCCCCUCGCCCCACAGUGCCAUUGCAACGACCAACGGGAAUAAUUCCAUAAAAGCCAGGUUGCGCAUGACCGGGCUGGACCCCCAUGUCUCCGGCCACCGCUCCGCGCACCAUCUCCCGCCAAAGUAGGCUCCGAAGCCCACACUACCCGACGCAUCCGUGAAGAGCUCCAGCUCCGACGCCGACUUACCUGCCUGCCGGAAAAACACCGUCCCGUUGAAGUCCUGCAGGAAGGCAUCCCAAAUGCCCAAAUCAGCCCUCAUGGCUGCCGACACCCGUAUGAAGUGGUGUGGGGAUCGAACCCCUGCCGUAGCAGCCGCCAGGCUGCGGCUGAAAACCCUCCCCAUAGGAAUUACACGGCAUGCAAAGUUCAGCAUCCCGAUCAAUGACUGCAGUUGCCGCAGCGUAACCUUGCGCGCAACGGUCACCGCAGCCACUGCAUCCCUGAGCCCCUCCAGCUUGUCCCGAGGCAGCCGGCAUUCACCCAAGACCGAAUCUAUUUCCAACCCCAGGAAACUAAGGCACGUCGCCGGGCCCUCCGUCUUAUCCGCUGCCAGCGGCACCCCGAAGUGUCCCGCCACCCAUUCCAUGGUCCUAAGCAGUUGCUGGCAUGCCGAGGAGGCAGCCGGCCCCACGCAAAGGAAAUCGUCCAAGUAGUGCACUACUGAACGGCUCCCCGCCUCCACCCGCACCACCCAUUCGAGAAAAGUACUAAAUUUCUCGAAAUAGGAGCAUGAAAUGGAACAGCCCAUAGGGAGGCACAAGUCCACGAAAUAUUUCCCCUCGAAAAAACAUCCCAGCAGGUGGUGACAGUCCGGGUGGACCGGCAGCAGCCGAAACGCUGCCUCAACAUCCACUUAGCCAUAAGCGCCCCAUGCCCGGCCCGUUUAACCAGCUCGACCGCCCGGUCGAAUGAUGCAUACGAGACCGAGCACAAGUCCUUAUCAAUACCGUCAUUCACCGACUCCCCUUUCGGGUAGGAGAGGUGGUGAAUGAGCCGGAACUUCCCCGGCUCCUUCUUUGGCACCACCCCGAGAGGGGAAACCCGGAGGCCCUCCAAUGGGGGUACCGUGAACGGGCCCGCCAUCCGCCCUAGCUUAACCUCCUUGUCUAGUUUUUCCCGUACCACCCCCGGGAAAUCCGCCACCGACUUCAGGUUGCGCAACCCCCCCGAUCCCCCCCGCUCCCGGAAGGGGAUAAAGAAACCGCGCCCGAAGCCCUCCCGAAGUACCGAGGCAUCAGCCCUGUUACCGUAGCGGCUUAGCCACGGCUCCAUCGCGUCUAGCCUCACCGGUGUGAAGCCCCGGGGCAGGGGAAGCACUCCCUCCGGCCCCGGCGGCCGCUCCGGUGGUUCCCGCCUUCCCUUUUUUGAAACAGCGAUUGACACGCGUUUCACCAUUUGCACUGGCCCUCGUUGUAGAGCCAGCAGAAGCCCUUUUGUAAAGCGGCCGACGAGGCGGACUGCCCCUUCGCGCCGGCCGAGUUUUGAAAGGGCUGCGCCUUCUGAGCCAUCAUUAGCUUCAUCCAGAGAGGCAGAUCCAUCUGAUCCCACCUCAUACCCGGGUUAGCCGCCAGUCGCUGCCUGAACUGUUCAUCGUACCGCCACCAUGCCAGCCCCCCAUAGGUGUGGUAUGCUUCCCAAAUGCCGUCCAAGUAGCAAAACAGGGACGAGCAUAAUCCCGGCGAUUUUUCACCGAGCACGCUGGCCAGCAUGCAAAACGCCCUCAACCAGUUACCAAAGGAUUUCGGAAUCUUGCGAUACCGCUUCCUUUUCUCCUCCUCCUCCUUCUUCUCAUCCUUCUUAUCCUCCUCUUUGAGGUCAAUAAAGUCCCCCAAGGGGAGCAGGGAGAAGAUCUCGCAAAACUCACCUUUCCAGAGCUUCUCUUUCACGUCCUGUUUCAGAUGAACCCCCAGGGGGCCCGCAAACGAGACAUACGCGUGCUGCCUCGCCGCGUCCGGAAUACCCCCGGCCAGUGCCGCCCUGUCACUCCCGGCCGCCGUCGCCUCGGGCGCCACCCCAGCGUCCCCGCCCGAGCUAAGCCCCGCGGAAACCCCACUAGAACCAGGGACCUCAGUCCCCAGUGCCCAGACCCGACCAACGCCGCCCCCCGUGUCACCCCCCGCCCCCAGUGAGUGGAGCAGUGCUUGAAGUGUGCUAACUAAGGAGCUGGAGUGUAGUGAUCCACAAGACUCACUGGCCAAGCCCCCUGAUACCAGAGCGGCAGGGGCUGCGUCGUCGACUGCCCGAUGUCCAGGGAGAGCGACUCCCGCCGAUACCUCGCCAACCGGGGAGCCAAACCGGUGCCUUGCCCGUGUCGAUAUGGAACGGCUCCGUGACCUGGAAAGAGGAGAAGAGGUCCUGGGUAGGGUGCACUGAGUACCUGCUUCCCCCCGUCCCGACCCUGGGAGCGCCUGCCCAUUGCCAAGGCCUCCCGCUGCGCCCCCCGCGUGCACUGCGCGCGGGAGCCCCUAGGGCUACGACUCCUCCUGUCCCCUCCUGGUAACCGUCCCCGCCGACCACCCCUGGGGACGCUAGCCCUGCCCUCCCCUGAGCUACCUGACGUGGAGCGGUGCUGCCGGGACCUCCCCCUCCUCCCCCUGGGCUCUAAGUCCCGAACUGGAGAGAGACUACCACUACCAGACCCUGAACCAGAACCCCCCUCCUACUACCCUGCACCCCCAAACGCUCACCCUUCCAGCGAGAGCCCGACCCCCCACCCGAAGUGGCUCCCAGACUAAGGGCACCCGGACCCCCCUCAACCAUACUGGCUGAGGAAGCCCCCCCAACCCCUAAACCAGGCCUACCCGACCCUACCUGCCCAGGCCUAGCCCCAGCACCCGUGGAGGCCCCCCUCCCCCCACCAGGUGAGCCCAGCAGCCCCUCACCACCCCCAGCCCCCUCUCCCCUACUACUACUCCCCCCACCUGUGGCCCCUGUGCCCCCCCCAUUCAGCACCAGUGAUCCCAGGGGGGCCUUCCCGCCCCCCACCUGGGCCCUCCGACCCCCACCCCCUGCCAAGACCCCCCCAGCGCUUCUCCCGCCAAGGGGGCCCCGGCCGGAGCCCCCUGCACUUGCCUUUGGGGCCGGGAACCGGCCACGUGUCCUCCCGGUCCCGGCACCGCCGACCUCCGCCUCCGACGGGGUGGGCGACCUCCCGGGCCGCACCUCCAUGCCGCCUGCUCCUCCAGGGGACCGCCCGGCCACGUCCGACCCGGCAGCCGCGACGGCCCCGUCUCGACCGUCCCCCCGGCGCCGGGCACUGGUCCUAGGCCCCGGCCGCUCGCGGGGAGGCGGGGCCUCUACCACGCGGCUGCCGGGCCUGCUGCCGCCCGCACCGGAGCCUCCCGGACCACCAGGGACGUCUUCACCGGGUCCCCCACCCGGGCUUAGUCUCUCCGGAGGCCUCCUGGCCCGAACAGGCCUGCCACCGCCGCCGUCCCGGUUCGCCGCCUCCGCCAGGGCCGGGCCUAGCUGGGCCCUCAGCCAGUCAGCCCCCUGGUGCCUCGCCGCCGACCGGAUCUCCUCCAGCAGUCGCUCCACUUCGUCCAUCGGUCCUGCAGGGAGACAAAAGAAGAAAAAACCCUACCAAGCCAAAUCUGUGCCCACAGGAGCGAACACAAACUUAACCAGGUAGGAAAUUAGAAUGACUUACCUAAAAUGGCUGCCCAUUUAAAUAACCAAACCUACUUACCCAUAACUCCACUCCCUUGCUUACUUCCUCCUAAGCCCGCCUCCUAACCCCUGUCAAGGCCUUUUUUCGCUUAGCUGCGCUUGGCUACAUGGGGCUACAUUCCUUUCCCAUACAUAUGGAUUGAAGAGGAUUGUGUAUAUAUGUUUCUUUUUUUAUAUAUUCAGCUUUUUUAUAUUUGUUCUUUAUGUAAUAGAUUUAGUGAAUGCAUUAUAACUUAUACAUCUGUUUAUUGAAUGAGGACAUUUACAUGGACAUUUACAUAAAGUUAACGGCACGCACGUCGGGCGUAGUAAUCUGACGUGUGCACCAUGACGCUAAACAGACGCGACCCACUGUCGUGAGCGUCAUGACGUCAUUCGGGCGCGACCCGCGCAUACAAGCGGGCGCGCCAUACUACAUAUAAGUAUGGGACUCAUACUGCUUUUUUCUGACAGGGCCAUUGAAGGGAUUUAUCUACAUCCCGAGCGCGCAGCCCGCACAGGAGACCUUGCACCAGCUAACAAGGCAUACAUAUUGGCACCUCAGGGAUCAAUGAGGAAUAAAUGAGGAACUGUUCUAUAUACACUACUUGCAAAAGAAGAAGAAAAGAGGAACUACAACUACAGGGAUUCACCUUUACACUAAAAGAUACUGGACAACAGAAUUUAUACCUCCACUGGUGAGAUCCACCCAUACUUUAUAGUGUGUACACACUGGGACUGUAUAUACUUACUUUUUUUCUUCUUCUUUUUUUUUCCUUUUUUCUUUUUUUCCCCUUUUUUUUCUUUUUUUCUGAUUUUUUGAAAGGAACUUUUUGAUAUUUUUUGUUUUUUCCCCCUUUUUCCCCACUUAUCAGUUUUUUCUCUGGAUGAUACGACUUUUUGGAAUAUCUGAUACAGCUAUUUAAUAUCAUGGUCAGGGAAGGGGUUAAAUUUUAUUUGAAAGAGGUGAGGGUGGGAUUUUUGUAACUAACUUUUUUACACAAAGAGACAGAUCAGCACCAAUCUGUCUCUCUCCACUUCACAGCUCACACUGAGCUGCAGGGAGACAGAUCGGGUCUCACUGCAGCAGUGUGAUCGCUCUGAAUCAGUGAAACUGCCUGCUGUAGUGUGCCUCCGAUAUGGAGACACACUACAGGAACAUUAACCCCACGAUUGCCGCGAUUGUGGCAAUCUGGGGUUAAUUUUAAUUUUGGACGGAAAAUUUCCUUCCAGCAUUCUUAAGGGGAGUACUGCAAUGACGGAAAACUUCCGUCCAUCGUCCUUAAGGGGUUAAGGACCAAACUUCUGGAAUAAAAAGGAAUCCUUAAGGGGUUAAUGCCUGAGAAAAAUUCUGCAGAACAGAGGAAGGUUGGGACAGUAUGGGUUACAUUGUGCACUGUAUUGCUUUGCAGCACAAAACAAAAUUAAAAAAUAUUUAUUGCAAGAUUUUGAUUUUUGUUCGUUGGUAUGGUACAAUAUAGGAAAUUAGGGUAGUGAUCUGGGAAAUUUAUUUACAAAUUAAUCAACUGGGGAAUGAAUUGAAUGGACAAAUAUUGAAUGAAAAGAUAUUUUCUUCUCCUUUGGUACAUAUGAUGAAAAUAUCAUCAUUAUCAGUUUUUUAAGGAAAUAGAAGUUUUUUUAUGUUUAAUAGAAAGGUACAUGUAACAAAUGCUGGUAUUUCAUUACCCGUUCAUUUGGUUCCUCCCGAACUGCUAGGUAUUCAGUGAUUAUAGCGCACAGUUCGGGCACUGAUUCAUAUGUUCCCAAGAAUCAAAGUGCAUCAUAUAAGUAAAUUCAGCGGUUCAGCAAUCCCUUCCCCAAACAUCAGUGUAGACUACAUAAAGGGUACAACUCUGACAGUCCUUUAUUGGUGCACACAGCAUUUAUGCAUUGCCCAAUGCAAGGUGUCUUCAUCCCCAAAAAACAGGGGUCAUAUCCCAGGAUCCUCCACACCCGGGGGCCAAAAGCGGGAAAAGAGGUUGCUGUCCCUUUGUCUCCCAGGUAUGGAAAGCCCUCCCCCCAGACGAGGGGUCUCCCACACAAAACGACAGAGGGAUCUUCAUCCCAGGAGUCUGUUCCUGGGAGCCAAAGCACAGGAAAAGAGGUUGUCCCCUUGUCUCCCAGGCACAGAAAAGCCCACCAAACUAGCUAGUGCCCCAAAAGUAUCCCCACCAAUCUCAGAAGCCCCCACAGUGGCAUUUCCCCCAACCAGUCUCCAUUUGCGAGCACAGGGGAGAACUACUUAAUUACUUCUCUUGCAGCUUCACACUUAUGUUGCAAGUGCAAAUGUUCUGAUUUAUUGCUGGGAACUUUCUAAUGGGGCACCGGGAUGGUCCCCAUUUGGGAGACGAUUGAGUCCCGUUCGUAUGAAUGCUCCCGAACGGGAAACAAGCAUUACAUACGAAAAGCUAGGGGAAACAAGGUAAUUCAAAAGGGAAACACACAAAUGAAUGAGACUCUGCUACAGGCAUCAUGCAGUUUCGUCACAGUACAGAAAAAAGUGAUGAGGAUGGACUCACAGGUCUCCGCCACUCCAACAAAAUGUCAUAGUAAAUAGCAUUCUUGAACAAAUAACUCAAUAAACAUGAGUAGUAGGGUAGCAUGAUGCACAUGCAAAAUGAUACAGUAACAUUGCUCCAUAGCUGUUAGCCAGGUAGUGGGUACAGAGUCAUCUACCUAGGAAUGCAUUCUGCUGACAUUGAAUUGUUCUACCGCCCUCCGAAAAGGAAUCAGGUGAGCAUGCAUGAUAUGGAGGAACCUGGGCAAUAUUUGGAAUACUAACUGAGAGCAGAUGACUAGUCUAUCCAUGUUGUGUAAGGGGGCAGUUGUGGUUUGCUGAGCUCCAACAUAUGGGUACAGAGUCAUUGGGAUGGCCUCUCACCGCUUUACCCAUCCCCCCUCCCAGAGCUAGGAGUAUGGCCAAAGUCGGGGUGGUCUAUGCUAUCCCUUUUGCUACAUCCCCUAUUCCAACGACCCGACCUGCAUUCACAGCUUCCAGAUACAUAAUACGUAAAUGUUUUCGUUGCAGUAACCUCUUGUCCCAUGACUUCUCUCUCUUAGACAGGCCAGCUAUGGUUUGUAUUGCAGAGAGCCGGUAGUUGCAGUAAAGUGGGAUUUGGCAAUGUUCAAAUUAGUCCUAGGAAAGUAGAAAGAAAAAAGGUAUCAAGGAAAGCUCAGCGAAAGGAAGUAUAGAGCAAGUAAAGUAUAAAGGUAUUGGGGCACUCCCCGCUGGGGUCCUUCCCCCCCACCCCCCUACUGCUCAGCAAGUUCUCCAUCCAUCCCGCUCCACCAGGUAUAGUAUCUAUGGCUGCAAUGGCUCAGCAUGUUUAUCACCGGUAUUAGUGAGUGAGGCCUGAAAUGAUUCAGCUGCCUUGAUCUCUCCCACUCUCUCCAUCCAUUGCUCCAUCGUGGGAGACGUGUAUUGUUUCCAAAGCAUUGGUAUGAGGGAUUUUGCAGCAUUAAGGAGGUAUCUAAGUAUCGUUUUACUUUAUUUGCUGACUGUUUUACUGUUUUCAAACGCUAAUGUUUGUGUUCCAUCGUGGCCUCCUGAGUAAAACAGCACCCCCCAUGUAUAGGUUUUAUGGUAUCCUAGAAAGUUACAGGGUUAAAUACAGGGCUUGCGAGACAAAUUCUCUGGACUUUCAGCCUGGGUUGUCGGGCAGGUCCCUCAAAUUGUAAUUAAUAAAAUGACUUGAUUAAUGUAAAAAUAUUAUAUAAAUAUAUUUGUAGAAUUUAAAUAUAUAUAUAUAUAUAUAUAUAUAUAUAUAUAUAUAUAUAUAUAUAUAUAUAUAUAUAUAUAUAUGGCUAAGCCUGUUGGUGAAGCCUGAAAUUGUGGGAGUGGUUAGUUUGCCUAUAAAUAUACAUGCUUCCCCUUCCUCUGUGCUGUUGCUGUCUGGUUCAGAUCUACUUCCAGUUCAAAGGUCAACACAACCUGCCUAAACUCUAAACAAGCUGGUCUUGCCCUAGUGUGGCCCAAGCAAGUAUUAAUUUUACCUCACUAACUACUAACGCAAAUUCAGCUUCAAUCGUACAUAGGCUCACAGAGCUGCCUCAAUUCAUCUCAUGCAUUCUGUUUACUGUAUGUGGCCCUCACUAGGCCAUAUUGACUUUUAUCAUAUGCAUUUCAGUGAGUCACCCUGCUUUUUAAUCUUUUUUUAUUUAUGGCUGCCCUCUUGGUAUGCAGGCAUGCAUCACGGGGCCAGUACAAACCUUUAUCUGGAAAUCUGUUCAUAAACAGGGCUAUACAUAGGACACAAUGUCACACAUUUAGGCUGGAAGAAAGGAGAUUUCAUCUAAGGCAAAGAAAAGGUUUUUGUAGAGUAAGAGCAAUAAGGAUAUGGAAUUCUCUGCCUGAAGAGGUGGUUUUGUCAGAGUCACAACAGAGGUUUAAACUGCAACUGGAUAAAUACUUACAAAAACAUAACAUACAGGGAUAUAAUUUCCAAUUAGUGGGGUAAUAGCUGCUUGAUCCAAGGAGACAUCUGACUGCUAUUUUGGGGUCAAGAAUGAUUUUUUAUCUAGUUUGUGGCAAAAUUGGAAGCGCUUCAGACUAGGUUUUUUGCCUUCUUUUGGAUCAACAGCAACAACAUAUGUGAGGAAGGCUGAACUUGAUGGACACAAGUCUCUUUUCAGCUAUGUAACUAUCUCUGUACACAAUACAACUUAAAAAUUAAUUCUCCUCUCUAAAGGGGAAUAUCUUCUAAAUGUCUAAAAAAAAAUAAAAAAAUUUACGAAACAACCUCAAACUCAUUAACUUAUAAAAUAUAUAUCAUAUACAUUCAUGCAUUUCAGUUAGUCAAUUGACAUUUUAAUAUGUUCUUUAUCUACCCUCUUGGUAUUCCAGCACUCAUUGGGCUUACAUUGUUGAAUUAUGUGGCUAGGUGUUGCAACUGACUGCCUAAAUUUAUGUCAGGCCCAAACUUGGGCCUAUACAUUUGGUUGAGGAAAUAUAAACUUGUAUAUACAUUCUUUGUACACAAUUGUAAAAAAUCCUUAUCCUCUUUAAAGGGGAAUAUCUUAUAAAUAUCUAAAAAUCUUCUUACUAAAACAACCUCAUAAAAUGUUUCUUUAUGAUUGCCCUCUUGGUAUUCCAGCACUUAUUGGGCAUACAUUGUUUAGUAAAUAUGUGGCUAGGUGUUGCUACUGACUGUCUAAAAUUAUGUCAGACCAAAACUUGGGCCUAUACAUCUGGUUAGCAUGCCUGUUAAUAAUCUGUAUUAUUUUACUGUCCGUGACUACUAACGUUCUUCCCAUACAGCCCUCUCUCAGAACACUCCCAAAAACCUGGGCCUCUCACGUAGCAGUUAACAUACCCUGGCCUCUUUGAUAUGUCACUAAUUUAACUGUAUUAGUAUUAUCCUCACCUCCUAUUUCAGGCUUUUACUGAAUUUGCUUCAUGCUAGUAUGAUAGGCAGGUGAUUUAGAUGUGAUUGUUGUUUAAAUUCUCAGGCUGUUCUUUUGCAUACGUAAUUCAGUCAGCUAUUCUAUUCUUGCUAGGCUUCAUGUCACAUUGAGUUACAUGCAUAUCCUUAUGUAAAGUCGCUCCAUAUCUACUCCUUCCCGGUCGUUGCAUAUCUGGGGCCGAUUGUCAGUUAUGGUCAACUGUGUCUUUAUUAUGCUGUUCAAUUUCCAUCAGUUAGGUCGACAACUGUUGUCACUAGAGUAAUUUGGUGUUCUAAGCACAGGAAAAUACUUAUUUUAUCUACUUUUCUGGCACAGACUGUUGAUAAACAAUUGUUCAAUGUUAGUAAUUGUGAACACAAGUUAUCAUGGAUAACUCUCAGGUUAUGGUUAAUUUAAUCACUGUACGAGUAUUUCUUUGCCCUUUAUUAGAUAUUCACGUAUUACAAUUAACUUUCAUUUAUCAUACAGGUAUACAUCUAUUUAAUCAUGUCACUCGUGAAUUAUUUCGUAUUUCACAAUUUCUAUCACCACGCAAGUGAUUUGCUUUUUUUACGAUAAUACCUCCCUACGUACAACAACCACUUACUCUACAAAAUGCUAUAAUUAUCUUGGUCUGGCUGUAAGGGUACCCCAGGUGGCCAUAGGUAGUUUUCGGCCUCUUGUGCCAUUACAUCGCUGUCCUGUGAGGCCAACUCAGCAAACGUAUUUCACCCCUUGUGCCAAAUCAUAGUUACUGCCUCGCUACUCUGCCCUCUUGGCAAAGCAGUUAGGGCCAAUUUAUCAUAUAUCUCUUUAGCUCUCACUGAGCCAACAACCCGCCACAAUGCUCAGUGGCAAACCUACCCCACAGGUCAAAUCAUAGGUAGAGCAUCUCAUCGCCACUUGGCAACUAGUUAGGUUCCCAAAUCACCAAUUUAGCUUAAUCAUUUUGCUACUUGGCUUAAUAAGUGUCAGCCAUUACCUGGGUGUUAUACAGCAUCUCCCAUUAAAAAACUGUUUCUCUUUCAGGUAUGGUUAUAAUGUUGAUAAAUAUUUAAGUAUUGAUUAUGUAAGGUCAACACGUAAUAAGUUGUAAACUAUUAAACUUUUGCCCUCUUUUUACAGGCCUACUCCAACGUCGGCUCCCGCACACCACAACUGACUUAUGCCACUACUACUAUGACUUGGCUUAUUGUCCCCGACCACAAAUAGAAGGCUGAGCCUGUGGGUGAAGCCUGGAAUUGUGCAGGGGUUAGUUUGCCUAUAAAUAUACAGGCUUCCCCUUCCUCUGUCCUGUUGCUGCCUGGUUCAGCCCAGCCACCUCUCCCUUUAUCAAAAAACAUUCAAUUUGGUUGGCCCUCUUUUUACAGGCCUACCCAAACGUCGGUUCCCGCACACCCCAACCGACUUAUGCCACUACUACUAUAACUCGGCUUAUUGUCCCUGACCAUAAGUGUGUGUGUAUAUAUAUAUAUAUAUAUAUAUAUAUAUAUAUAUAUGUUGUGAUCCUUGUCUGCAGUUAGCAUGGUCCUUUUGGGUACAAACAUGCACAGUCUUUAAAAGUAACUUAAUUCCAGGCACUUUAUUGUUAAGCUCCACCACAGAGACAGCAGCAAAUGAAAAAAACAAUGUAACACAAAUCCCUAUAAACAAAAACCUAGCUCGUCUGAGCAUUUACUAACUUCAGACUCCCUAUCUCUCAGGGGUUAAACUAUAACAAAACAAUAUUGGUUUCACCAACCUAGUGUCUUUUUCAGCUCUCAGCACUCCAGUGUUUAGUCAGCCUGCUGCUUCCAGCCCUUCAAGAGAGAAACAAACAUUCCCCCCUACCUGCCUAGCAGGGAGGGUUUUAUUCCCACUGCUGCAGCUGAUUACCUGCAGCUGAGCAGUGGGUUGGAGACAGUCCAAACCCUGGUCUGGACCUAGUCUUCCAAGAAAAAACAAACAGCGGAGUGGAGCACUGGCCCAUCCUUCUCUCCAAAUGCUCCACCCCAGGGGCCCAUAACUAAAUAUGCAUUUACGUUAUAUACAUACACACACUCCCCCUGGGGUUACAGAUCAUAUACCUCUCUGAACAAUGCAGAUGAAAUAUAAACUCCCUCACAGACCACCCCAUUCAUAUAUAUACACUGUUAAAAAAAAUAAAGGGAACACUUAAACAACACAAUGUAACUCCAAGUCAAUCACAUUUCUGUGAAAUCAAACUGUCCACUUAGGAAGCAACACUGAAUGAUAAUCAAUUUCACAUGCUGUUGUGCAAAUGGGAUAGACAACAGGUGGAAAUUACAGGCAAUUAGCAAGACACCCCCAACAAAGGAGUGGUUCUGCAGGUGGUGACCACAGACCACUUCUCAGUUCCUAUGCUUCCUGGCUGAUGUUUUGGUCAGUUUUGAAUGCUGGUGGUGCUUUCACUCUAGUGGUAGCAUGAGGCAGAGUCUACAACCCACACAAGUGGCUCUGGUAGUGCAGCUCAUCCAGGAUGGCACAUCAAUGCGAGCUGUGGCAAGAAGGUUUGCUGUGUCUGUCAACGUAAUGUCCAGAGCAUGGAGGUGCUACUAGGAGACAGGUCAGUACAUCAGGAGACGUGGAGGAGGCCGUAGGAGGACAACAACUCAGCAGCAGGACCGCUACCUCCGCCUUUGUGCAAGGAGUAACAGGAGGAGAACUGCCAGAGCCCUGCAAAAUAACCUCCAGCAGGCCACAAAUGUACAUGUGUUUGCUCAAACGGUCAGAAACAGACUCCAUGAGGGCGGUAUGAGUGCCCAACGUCCAAAGGUGGGGGUUGUGCUUACAGCCCAACACCGUGCAGGACGUUUGGCAUUUACCAGAGAACACCAAGAUUGGCAAAUUCGCCACUGGCGCCCUGUGCUCUUCACAGAUGAAAGCAAGUUCAUACUGAGCACAUGUGACAGACGUGAGAGUCUGGAGAUGCCGUGGAGAACAUUCUGCUGCCUGCAACAUCCUUCAGCAUGACUGGUUUGGCAGUGGGUAAGUAAUGGUGUGGGAUGCCAUUUCUUUGGGGGGCCGCACAGCCCUCCAUGUGCUCGCCAGAGGUAGCCUGACUGCCAUUAGGUACCAAGAUGAGAUCCUCAGACCCCUUGUGAGACCAUGUGCAAGACAAUGCUGGACCUCAUGUGGCUGGAGUAUGUGAGCAGUUCCUGCAAGACGAAAGCAUUGAUGCUAUGGACUUGCCUGCCCGUUCCCCAGACCUAAAUCCAAUUGAGCACAUCUUGGACAUCAUGUCUCGCUCCAUCCACCAACAUCACGUUGCACCACAGACUGUCCAGGAGUAUUUCAGGCUUUUACUGAAUUUGCUUCAUGCUAGUAUGAUAGGCAGGUGAUUUAGAUGUGAUUGUUGUUUAAAUUCUCAGGCUGUUCUUUUGCAUACGUAAUUCAGUCAGCUAUUCUAUUCUUGCUAGGCUUCAUGUCACAUUGAGUUACAUGCAUAUCCUUAUGUAAAGUCGCUCCAUAUCUACUCCUUCCCGGUCGUUGCAUAUCUGGGGCCGAUUGUCAGUUAUGGUCAACUGUGUCUUUAUUAUGCUGUUCAAUUUCCAUCAGUUAGGUCGACAACUGUUGUCACUAGAGUAAUUUGGUGUUCUAAGCACAGGAAAAUACUUAUUUUAUCUACUUUUCUGGCACAGACUGUUGAUAAACAAUUGUUCAAUGUUAGUAAUUGUGAACACAAGUUAUCAUGGAUAACUCUCAGGUUAUGGUUAAUUUAAUCACUGUACGAGUAUUUCUUUGCCCUUUAUUAGAUAUUCACGUAUUACAAUUAACUUUCAUUUAUCAUACAGGUAUACAUCUAUUUAAUCAUGUCACUCGUGAAUUAUUUCGUAUUUCACAAUUUCUAUCACCACGCAAGUGAUUUGCUUUUUUUACGAUAAUACCUCCCUACGUACAACAACCACUUACUCUACAAAAUGCUAUAAUUAUCUUGGUCUGGCUGUAAGGGUACCCCAGGUGGCCAUAGGUAGUUUUCGGCCUCUUGUGCCAUUACAUCGCUGUCCUGUGAGGCCAACUCAGCAAACGUAUUUCACCCCUUGUGCCAAAUCAUAGUUACUGCCUCGCUACUCUGCCCUCUUGGCAAAGCAGUUAGGGCCAAUUUAUCAUAUAUCUCUUUAGCUCUCACUGAGCCAACAACCCGCCACAAUGCUCAGUGGCAAACCUACCCCACAGGUCAAAUCAUAGGUAGAGCAUCUCAUCGCCACUUGGCAACUAGUUAGGUUCCCAAAUCACCAAUUUAGCUUAAUCAUUUUGCUACUUGGCUUAAUAAGUGUCAGCCAUUACCUGGGUGUUAUACAGCAUCUCCCAUUAAAAAACUGUUUCUCUUUCAGGUAUGGUUAUAAUGUUGAUAAAUAUUUAAGUAUUGAUUAUGUAAGGUCAACACGUAAUAAGUUGUAAACUAUUAAACUUUUGCCCUCUUUUUACAGGCCUACUCCAACGUCGGCUCCCGCACACCACAACUGACUUAUGCCACUACUACUAUGACUUGGCUUAUUGUCCCCGACCACAAAUAGAAGGCUGAGCCUGUGGGUGAAGCCUGGAAUUGUGCAGGGGUUAGUUUGCCUAUAAAUAUACAGGCUUCCCCUUCCUCUGUCCUGUUGCUGCCUGGUUCAGCCCAGCCACCUCUCCCUUUAUCAAAAAACAUUCAAUUUGGUUGGCCCUCUUUUUACAGGCCUACCCAAACGUCGGUUCCCGCACACCCCAACCGACUUAUGCCACUACUACUAUAACUCGGCUUAUUGUCCCUGACCAUAAGUGUGUGUGUAUAUAUAUAUAUAUAUAUAUAUAUAUAUAUAUAUAUGUUGUGAUCCUUGUCUGCAGUUAGCAUGGUCCUUUUGGGUACAAACAUGCACAGUCUUUAAAAGUAACUUAAUUCCAGGCACUUUAUUGUUAAGCUCCACCACAGAGACAGCAGCAAAUGAAAAAAACAAUGUAACACAAAUCCCUAUAAACAAAAACCUAGCUCGUCUGAGCAUUUACUAACUUCAGACUCCCUAUCUCUCAGGGGUUAAACUAUAACAAAACAAUAUUGGUUUCACCAACCUAGUGUCUUUUUCAGCUCUCAGCACUCCAGUGUUUAGUCAGCCUGCUGCUUCCAGCCCUUCAAGAGAGAAACAAACAUUCCCCCCUACCUGCCUAGCAGGGAGGGUUUUAUUCCCACUGCUGCAGCUGAUUACCUGCAGCUGAGCAGUGGGUUGGAGACAGUCCAAACCCUGGUCUGGACCUAGUCUUCCAAGAAAAAACAAACAGCGGAGUGGAGCACUGGCCCAUCCUUCUCUCCAAAUGCUCCACCCCAGGGGCCCAUAACUAAAUAUGCAUUUACGUUAUAUACAUACACACACUCCCCCUGGGGUUACAGAUCAUAUACCUCUCUGAACAAUGCAGAUGAAAUAUAAACUCCCUCACAGACCACCCCAUUCAUAUAUAUACACUGUUAAAAAAAAUAAAGGGAACACUUAAACAACACAAUGUAACUCCAAGUCAAUCACAUUUCUGUGAAAUCAAACUGUCCACUUAGGAAGCAACACUGAAUGAUAAUCAAUUUCACAUGCUGUUGUGCAAAUGGGAUAGACAACAGGUGGAAAUUACAGGCAAUUAGCAAGACACCCCCAACAAAGGAGUGGUUCUGCAGGUGGUGACCACAGACCACUUCUCAGUUCCUAUGCUUCCUGGCUGAUGUUUUGGUCAGUUUUGAAUGCUGGUGGUGCUUUCACUCUAGUGGUAGCAUGAGGCAGAGUCUACAACCCACACAAGUGGCUCUGGUAGUGCAGCUCAUCCAGGAUGGCACAUCAAUGCGAGCUGUGGCAAGAAGGUUUGCUGUGUCUGUCAACGUAAUGUCCAGAGCAUGGAGGUGCUACUAGGAGACAGGUCAGUACAUCAGGAGACGUGGAGGAGGCCGUAGGAGGACAACAACUCAGCAGCAGGACCGCUACCUCCGCCUUUGUGCAAGGAGUAACAGGAGGAGAACUGCCAGAGCCCUGCAAAAUAACCUCCAGCAGGCCACAAAUGUACAUGUGUUUGCUCAAACGGUCAGAAACAGACUCCAUGAGGGCGGUAUGAGUGCCCAACGUCCAAAGGUGGGGGUUGUGCUUACAGCCCAACACCGUGCAGGACGUUUGGCAUUUACCAGAGAACACCAAGAUUGGCAAAUUCGCCACUGGCGCCCUGUGCUCUUCACAGAUGAAAGCAAGUUCAUACUGAGCACAUGUGACAGACGUGAGAGUCUGGAGAUGCCGUGGAGAACAUUCUGCUGCCUGCAACAUCCUUCAGCAUGACUGGUUUGGCAGUGGGUAAGUAAUGGUGUGGGAUGCCAUUUCUUUGGGGGGCCGCACAGCCCUCCAUGUGCUCGCCAGAGGUAGCCUGACUGCCAUUAGGUACCAAGAUGAGAUCCUCAGACCCCUUGUGAGACCAUGUGCAAGACAAUGCUGGACCUCAUGUGGCUGGAGUAUGUGAGCAGUUCCUGCAAGACGAAAGCAUUGAUGCUAUGGACUUGCCUGCCCGUUCCCCAGACCUAAAUCCAAUUGAGCACAUCUUGGACAUCAUGUCUCGCUCCAUCCACCAACAUCACGUUGCACCACAGACUGUCCAGGAGUUGGCAGAUGCUUUAGUCCAGGUCUGGGAGGAGAUCCCUCAGGAGACCAUCCGCCACCUCAUCAGGAGCAUGCACAGGCGUUGUAGGGAGGUCAUACAGGCACGUGGAGGCCACACACACUACUGAGCCUCAUUUUGACUUGUUUUAAGGACAUUACAUCAAAGUUGGAUCAGCCUGUAGUGUGUUUUUCCACUUUAAUUUUGAGUGUGACUCCAAAUCCAGACCUCAAUGGUUUGAAAAAUUUGAUUUCCAUUUUAAAAUUUUUGUGUGAUUGUGUUGCCUGCACAUUCAACUAUGUAAAGAACAAAGUAUUUCAGAAGAAUAUUUAAUUCAUUCAGAUCUAGGAUGUGUUAUUUUUGUGUUCCCUUUAUUUUUUUGAGCAGUGUGUAUAUAUAUAUAUAUAUAUAUAUAUAUAAUGUCAUUCUAAAUGUAUUUUGAAUUUAAUAUAUAUGUAUAUUAAUAUCAAAGUAUAGUUUGAACAAAUUAGAAAUAGUAUAAAAGUUUAUUUGUAUUUGUAUUAUUUUUUAUAUUAUUUAUAUUCCGGCCAUGUGAUCGCAAGGACCCCACGAUCACAUGGGGGUGGGGCAGGAUCGGGGAUAGGAGGUCUGCCUGGAAGCAGACCGCAUUAUCGCGACGGCCGUUGGGGGAAUGACGGAGACCUGGUAAGUACAAAGGACGACGGGGAUGUUCUAUGUAGCCUGCCGGCAUUUAGGACCACCGCAAAAAGGACAACAUAGAACGCUCGCCGUCUUUAAGGGGUUAAUAUAUCUUUGUAAAAUCCUCAGAUGAAGAAUCUUAUUAUUGUAACCACAGCCAGUAACAUAGAUUUUAGAAGGGCUAACAAUACAGAUAUCUUAGCCAUAAUAUUAUAUAGUUAAUAAGAGUUCCUCUAUUUAAAAUAUAUAAAUAAUUGAGAAUACAAUAUAAAAUAGGGAUUGUCUUGAAAGCAAUAAAGUUUUGUAUAUUUAAAUAUUUUAUUAAAUAUAAAUAUAAAUAUAAACAUCUAAAACCUUAAUAAUCCAUUACAAUAAUUUAUAGCGGAGUUUAUAAGAUUAAAGUAUAUGCUUGCAAUAUCAGUAACAUAGAAUAACAUUCAAACAGUGGUUGGUGUUAAUUUUCACAUACUCAUUGUGAAUACACUAUUGACUAGAGUCAGUACAUAGCAUAUAAAUGUGUAGUGAAUGAACUGGUAUUGAUCUAAUCAAGCCUGCUUUUGUUCAACAUAUGAUCAAGUUGCUUUGGCAUUUAAGUUCAUACAAUGUUUCCUCUUUUGUCCCAUUGUUUUUAGCUCCCUGGAAUUAAACCAAAACAUCUUCCUGGUACGAGAAUAAACUAGACUUGUGAGAACUAGGGCAAUCUUUAAUGUUAAGGGGAUAUGUGAAUGGCAAAUAAGUGAUUGUUUAUCCACUUAAUUAUAUAUUAAAACAAUAACAUUCUAGUGUCACAGAUGUGAUCUUCCUUAAAGCAGCACUCCCACCUUGAUAACACUUAAAGGGACACUAUAGUCACAAACAAGUUUAGCUUAAUGAAGCAGUUUUGGUGUAUGAAUCUACCCCCUGCAGCCUCACUGCUCAAUUCUCUACCAUUUAGGAGUUAAAUACCGUAUAUACUCGAGUAUAAGCCGACCCGAAUAUAAGCCGAGGCCCCUAAUUUUACCCCAAAAAACUGGGAAAACUUAUUGACUCGAGUAUAAGACUAGGGUGGGAAAUGCAGCAGCUACUGGUAAAUUUCUAAAUAAAAUUAGAUCCUAAAAAAAUUAUAUUAAUUGAAUAUUUAUUUACAGUGUGUGUAUAUGAUGAAUGCAGUGUGUGUGUAUGCGUGCGCAGUGUGUAUAAAUGCAGUGUGUAUAUGAGUGCGCAGUGUGUGUGUAUGAGUGCAGUGUGUGUGUAUGAGUGCAGUGUAUGUGUGUAUGAAUGCAGUAUGUGUGUAUGAGUGCAGUGUGUGUAUGAAUGCAGUGUGUGUGUAUGAAUGCAGUGUGUGUGUGUAUGAAUGCAGUGUAUGUGUGUAUGAAUGCAGUGUAUGUGUGUAUGAGUGCAGUAUGUGUAUGAGUGCAGUAUGUGUAUGAGUGCAGUAUGUGUAUGAGUGCAGUAUGUGUAUGAGUGCAGUAUGUGUAUGAGUGCAGUAUGUGUAUGAGUGCAGUAUGUGUAUGAGUGCAGUAUGUGUAUGAGUGCAGUGUGUGUGUAUGAAUGCAGUGUGUGUGUAUGAAUGCAGUGUGUGUGUGUGAUGCAGUGUGUGUUUGUGUUGCAGAGCCUUGGUGGGGGGUGGGCAUUUUUAUAAAAAAAAAAAAUAUUAUUAUUUACAUUUUUUUUUGUUAUAUUAUUAUUUUUUUAAUAAUUUUUUUAUUAUUAUUUUUUUUAUUAUUAUUUAUGUAUUAUUAUUUUAUUUAGUUUUUAGUUCAUUUUUUUGUUAUAUUAUUAUUUUGUUUAUUAUUAUUAUUUUUUUAUUAUUUUUAUUUAUAUAUUAUUAUUUUAUCUAUUUUUUGUCCCCCCUCCCUGCUUGAUACAUGGCAGGGAGGGGGGCUCUCCUUCCCUGGUGGUCCAGUGGCAUUGGCAGUUCAGUGGGGGGAGGAGGGGGGCUGGCAGAGCUGUUACUUACCUCUCCUGCAGCUCCUGUCAGCUCCUGUCAGCUCUCUCCUCCUCCGCGCCGGUCCGUGCAGCUCCUCUCUCAGCUCACACUGUAAGUCUCGCGAGAGCCGCACUAUGACCCCGCGGCUCUCGCGAGACUUACACUGGGAGCUGACCGAGGUGCUGACCGGACCGGCGCUGAGGAGGAGAGAGCUGACAGGAGCUGCAGGAGAGGUAAGUAACAGCUCUGCCAGCCCCCAGUCUGUAUUAUGGCAAUGUAAAUUGCCAUAAUACAGACUGACUCGAGUAUAAGCCGAGUGGGGGUUUUUCAGCACAAAAAAUGUGCUGAAAAACUCGGCUUAUACUCGAGUAUAUACGGUAACUUUGUUUAUGCAGCCCUAGUCAUACCUCACUGCAUGUGACUUACACAGCCUUCCUUAUAUUUCCUUUUUUUGCAAAUUCUGUUUAAUUUAGAAUGUAUCUCCUGUUCUGUUAAUAGCUUUCUAGAUCCUGCAGGAGCCUUCUUUAUGUAUCGAACGUUCGAUUUACAGAGCAGGAAAUAACUUUUAAAGCAAGCUACAUCUGAUUGAAAAUGAAACAAUUUUGUUUUCAUGCAGGCUGUGUCAGUCACAGACAGGGGAGGUACGUGGCUGCAUAAACAGAAAAAGAAAAAGUGAUUAACUCUUAAAUGAGGCAUGAUUUAUACACAAAUACUGCUUCAGUAAGCUAAAGUUGUUUUGGUGCCUGUAAUGUCCCUUUAAUUUAAUUUGUUAUGGGGUAUGUUGUCUGGGCACUAUCUUACCUGUCCACAUCUGUCCCAGUAACAACUGCUGAUACGGAGGUGGGAGUGUCCCUCUAAAGCCAGAAAAAAAUUUGAGAAUAAAUAACUAGAGAAUGAGCUGUAGUGUGCUGCUCAGCUGUGAACUCACCGUUUAGUUACCUAUUAAAUAUUUUUCAUAAACUUCUACACACAUAUAAAUUGCAUCUGUGUAUACUGUGAUUUUUUUUGCUGUUAGCUUAUACUUUGCACUUUUAUACUAUUAAUGCUAGUUAAUAAAUUACGUGGGGGAAAAAAAUAUACUCGUUUAUUAAAAAGUGAUUUUAAAGCUAAUGUACAAUGUUCAUCAUCCCUCUAGUGCUACAAGUAUAAUAAUUAUUGAUAAUUUAUUAGUGGGCUAAAAUGAUGGCAUCUGAAUUAACAGAACGUUUUAUGGCAUAGGGAACCUCCAUCCCAUCCCAUUCCUAGAAUAGGAAAUGGACUAAAAACUGUAGGGGCAGCUGCAGUUAUUUUAAUCUAUUACAUAGUUACAUAGUUACAUAGCUGAAAAGAGACUUGCGUCCAUCAAGUUCAGCCUACCUCACAUUUGUUUUUUGCUGUUGAUCCAAAAGAAGGCAAAAAAAACCAGUUUGAAGCACAAUUUUGCAACAAGCUAGGAAAAAAAUUCCUUCUUGACCCCAGAAUGGCAGUCAGAUUUAUCCUUGGAUCAAGCAGUUAUUACCCUACAUUGAAAGAUUAUAUCCUUGAAUAUUGUGUUCUUGCAAGUAUGCAUCUAGUAGCCGUUUGAACAUCUGUAUGGACUCUGAUAAAACCACUUCCUCAGGCAGAGAAUUCCACAUCCUGAUUGUUCUUACAGUAAAAAAACCUCUCCUUUGCCUUAGACGAAAUCUUCUUUCUUCCAGUCUAAACUCAUGUCCUCGUGUCCUAUGUUAUCUAUAUUAACCUAUACCACACAAAACGUAUUAGUUACAUAGCUGAAAAGAGACUUGCGUCCAUCAAGUUCAGCCUUCCUCACAAAUGUUGUUGCUGUUGAUCCAAAAGAAGGCAAAAAACCUGGUCUGAAGCGCUUCCAAUUUUGCCACAAACUAGGAAAAAAUUCCUUCUUGACCCCAAAAUAGCAGUCAGAUGUCUCCUUGGAUCAAGCAGCUAUUACACCACUAAUUAGAAAUUGUAUCCCUGUAUGUUAUGUUUUUGUAAGUAUUUAUCCAAUUUCAGUUUAAACAUCUGUAUGGACUCUGACAAAACCACCUCUUCAGGCAGAGAAUUCCAUAUCCUUGUUGUUCUUACUGUAAAAAAAACUUUUUCUUUGCCUUAGAUAAAAUCUCAAUUCUUCCAGUGUGACCUUGUGUCCUAUGUAUAAACCUGUUUAUGAAUAGAUUUCCAUAUAAAGGUUUAUACUGGCCACGAAUAUAUUUGUAUAAAGUUAUCAUAUCCCCUCUCAGGCGCCAUUUUUCCAAACUAAACAGAUUUAAUUUUUUUAACCUUUCUUCAUAACUAAAAUGCUCCAUUCCUUUUAUCAAUUUUUUAGCUUGUCUCUGGACCCUCUCCAGUGCCAUGAUAUCCUUCUUUAGAACAGGCGCCCAAAAUUGCACAGCAUAUUCAAGGUGUGGUCUUACCAACGAUUUAUAAAGAGGCAAAAUUAUAUUUUCAUCCCGAGAAUUUAUGCCCCUAUUUAUACAUGACAAAACCUUACUGGCCUUAGCAACUGCAGAUUGACAUUGCAUAUUGCUGCCUAAUUUGUUGUCUAUAACAAUUCCCAAAUCCUUCUCGUGUGUGGUUAUCCCUAAUUCACUACCAUUUAGUGUGUAAGUUGCUUGUGCAUUCUUAACCCCGAAGUGCAUAACUUUGCAUUUCUCUAUGUUAAAUUUCAUCUGCCAUUUUAGUGCCCAGUCCCCCAAUCUAUCCAAAUCUCUCUGCAGCAAAGCAAUAUCCUGCUCACAUUUUAUUACUUUACAAAGUUUUGUGUCAUCUGCAAACACUGAUACAUGGCUUUCAAUGCCUAUUUCAAGAUCAUUUAUAAAUAUGUUAAAUAGAAGUGGUCCCAAAACAGAACCCUGAGGGACACCACUUACCACUUUUGUCCAGCCUGAAAAUGUACCAUUAAUUACAACUUGUUGUACUCUAUCCUUAAGCCAAUGUUCUACCCAAGAACAAGAAUAUUCAUCUAGACCAAUUUCUUUUAGUUUGAAGACUAACCUAUUGUGAGGAACCAUAUCAAAUGCCUUGGCAAAAUCCAAGUAGAUCACAUCCACUGCAACACCCUGAUCUAUACUUCUACUUACUUCUUUGUAGAAUGCAAUUAGGUUAGUUUGACAUGACCGAUGUUUCAUAAAACCAUGCUGAUUAUUGCUAAUAACAAAGUUCUUCCCAAUGAAUUCCUGAAUAUUAUCCCUUAAUAGCCCUUCAAAUAUUUUCCCAGUUACAGAAGUUAAGCUCACAGGUCUAUAAUUUCCAGGCAAGGAUUUUGAACCCUUUUUAAAUAUAGGAACAACAUCUGCCUUCCUCCAAUCCUCCGGUACAACACCUGAAACAAAAGAAUCUUGAAAAAUUAAAUACAGAGGUUCACUUAUUUCCCCACUUAGCUCCUUAAGUACUCGUGGGUGAAUUGUAAGGAUUACUGUUUGAUCCAGCACGUAGAACUGUACAGCACGGAUGACAAAUAAGUAACGUAUUACCGGUCCUUAGAAUGGCCGGAUUUAACGUACAAAGAAUAGUCAAAAAUACUAGCCGAGGUCAGGGAACACAGAAAGGGACACAGUGAUGAGGAAAGCCAGGAGUCAGGAUACCAGAAUAUAGAGAAGUCAAUAAACAAAGCCAAAGUCAAAAAACAGGUAGAAAACUAAAAACAGGAACGCUUUCUCGGACAACCACAAGGGAAACCACGACAGGGCACUGAGCAGGCUGAGAACUGGGCCUAAAUACCCCUCCUUUCUUUCUGAUAGGCUGUAACCGGCCUUUGACCCCAAAGUCAGUUACCAGGUUUCAUUUGCAUAAUUGCUGCUCAGCAUUAACCCUUCUGUGGAUUAGGUUGCUGCUCGGCACAACUUUUCCUGUGUGGACAGUAAAUGUCAUUAACCACUUUUCUAUAAGCGGAUGAAUACAUGAGACCAGGUUUCAUUUGCACAAUUACUGCUCAGCAUUAAACCUUCUGUGGAUUAGGUUGCUGCUCGGCACAACUUUUCCUGUGUGGACAGUAAAUGUCAUUAACCAAAUUUCUAUAAGCAGAUGAAUACGUGACAUGAAUACCAUCAGGACCCGGAGCUUUAUUUACAUUAAUAUAAAGUCAUACAUCAAAUUGAUUUGUAAUAAAGCAAGUGAUUGCCCACGCAGGGGCUUAAGCAUUGGUUUAACACUGCAUAUACAUUUGGUUGCCUGCGUAGAGGCGGAUUUGUCCUAGCCUGUGUUUUUUGUUCACAGUUGGUUGCUUUGUGUUUUAUACUCUUAUGUACUGUGUUGCCUUUUUAGUUCGGUUAUAGUGUUAAGUAAGUGUUUUAAGUUAACUGGUGUGUGCCAGGGCUGCGUGUUUGCUAGUUGGUAAAUGCAAAUUGUCGCCUGUGCAGAGGUAAAUUAAUCAGCUUGCUAAUUGGAGUCAGACAUUAAGCAAUAAUCUAAGAUACAAAAACUUUUUCAACUAUCUGGUUAGCGCUCUAAACGUACGGUACAUCUGUGCUUAAAACUUGGCUUUUAACUAUUAAACAUUAGGAUGCACGUAGCUGAUAGCCUUAUUUGUGGUUAAUAUAUUAUGGCAUAUGUUUCUUGUCAUUAAUUAAGCGUUGAUAGUUAGCGCUGUGUUAAGUAGCUAUUAGCAUUGUGACAUUGCCCUAUCAACUGCACAUCAGGCAUGCUGCGAAAUAUAUGUACCAAUAUUAAAGAGUGUAUCCUAUGUACAGCUGCUUAUGCACAUGGAAACAUUAGCGUGGUUAGCUCUAACAACAUGAAUUUACACUUUUAACAGUAAGAGCAUUUGUGUCUAUGUUAAGGCGCUUUUGUGUGUCCCCUAUAUGUACUCGCUAUCCAGGCCCAUGGGCGUAAUAAGAAACAUUUUAUUUUCUGCAUGGGCCGUACAUGCUUGUCCUAUCUGGUUAGCGCUCUAAACGUACGGUACAUCUGUGCUUAAAACUUGGUUUUUAACUAUGAAACCUUAGGAUGCACGUAGCUGAUAGCCUUAUUUGUGGUUAAUAUAUUAUGGCAUAUGUUUCUUGUCAUUAAUUAAGCGUUUAUAGUUAGCGCGGUGUUAAGUAGCUAUUAGCAUUGCGACAUUGCCCUAUCAUCUGCACAUCAGGCAUGCUGCGAAAUAUAUGUACCAAUGUUAAAGAGUGUAUCCUAUGUACAGCUGCUUAUGCACUUGGAAACAUUAGCGUGGUUAGCUCUAAUAACAUGAAUUUACACUUUUAACAGUAAGAGCAUUUGUGUCUAUGUUAAGGCGCAGUAAUAUAUAGUGCGGUAAUCAAGCAAUUAGGUAAGUAGUAUUAAAUAACCCUGACAGUAUAUACGCUGCUACAUUGAUUUAAGAGAGUAGUUUUUCAUUACUCUGACGGAGGUUUCUUGCUCUCUUGCAGGUAUGAUUGGUCCUUAGGGGAACAAUAGUGCCCAAGGUUAAGUCUUAUUGGUGCGGUAUCGCCUACAGCACAUUAGGUUUCAGGCUGAGAUAUGGUUACGAGUACAGCCAUCUUAUAGCGUAUCAGUCUGGUGUAAUUUCAAAAUGCGCAGUACAGGAAUAGGAGCAGGUAGAGAGUAAACAUUAUUAACAAUAUGUCGCCUUGUGUAGAAAGCUGAGGGAGGCCUCACAUGUCUUUGCUGCAGUGCAGUCCUCAGGUUGCCGAGCCUUUGUCCGUCCUCCCCACUCUGGCACCAGUUCACAGGCCGGGUCCUCCGCGGCACCGUGGGCACUCAGGGGCAGUGAUUGCCUGCCAGAUCCCACCACAAAGUCUGCGGCACCCCCCCAGCGUCACGUUGUUCCCCCUGGAGCGAGCAUUCCCACGUCUCUCCCAGUGCCGGCCUCACACUUAAGGCUGGUACUCCGCCCCCACGGCCACCGGUCCGCCGGUAGGGCGGUGCACUCCCGCCUCACAGGGCUCGCAGCAGUGGGGACGUGAUUCUCUGGGGACCCCCAUACCCAGAGACUGGGGUACUCACUGCUCUAGCCAGCUUGUGGGCCGCGCGGAGUGUCCGUCUGGUGUCCAGCAUCACCUGGGCCUGCACAGGCCGUCCAUGUCAGUCCCCUGUGCUUUAUUCCACUGUGGUCCUCAGGGUGUAAUGGGUUGUGCUGAAAUGUCUCUAUAUAGGUGCAGGUGUUAUUCCUCGCAUCUGUUUCAGAGAUAUCCAGCCAAUGCUCACUGCUAGUUCAUGGUCUGUGUGCCUCCCUGCAAUAUUUCCUUUUCCUCUGCUUCAGGGUCAACUCCUGCUGGCUUGCUGUUCCUCAUACAGCUGUUUGCCAGUAUAGGCGGCCAGCGUGCGCCCCACGUGGGAGCUCCCCCUGUGGCGCCAGUCGCCGCCAUGCGCCAGUCCUUCCACCGGCCAAGAGGGGGGGGGCAGGGCCGGGCCGGGGGCAAGUCCACAUCUGGCGGUCCUGUCCCCCAUUCAUAUGUCUCGGGGCUGUGCCUUUCUGUGGCGUAGAGCUGCAUGUGCUGGCUGCGGGCGUUUGGGUGUCUUGUAGGCCUGGCGUGGCCUCUCUCGCUCACCCCGCCCGCGGCAUGUUGUUUGUCGGGAUCUGAAGAUAGCUGGGGUUGUUCCCCUUCCCCAGCUGCCACGGCACCCGGUGUUUGGGUGUUCCGGAUCGGCUUUUUGGGCUCUUUUGCUCUGAUUAGUGCCGGAGCCCAUGUAAAUGGCGUCUGGUCGGCCCGGCGGCCCGGCCCCGCCCCCUCACAAGUUAUUUGCAAGUUUUUUGCAGCAAUCAUUUGCAUAUCUCUUGCCAUAGGAUCCUCAUUAAUAUAUAUUGAAGAAAAAUAGUUAUUUAAAAUGUCUGCUUUUUCCUGGUCUUCAUUAGCUAAUAAACCCAACUCUGUUUCAAGUGUACCUACACUUUCAUUUUUUGUUUUUUUAGAAUUGAUGUACUUGAAAAAAAUUUUGGGGUUGGUUUUGCAUUCUUUAGCUAUCAAUUUCUCAUUUUCUAGUUUAGCCACUUUAAUUGCCUUUUUGCAAGCGUUAUUGGCUUCCUUAUAUCUUAAAUAGGAUGCCUUUGAUUUGUCUGAUUUAAAUGCUUUAAAUGCCCUUUUCUUAUUUUUAAUCUCUUGUUUUACUUCUCUACUAAGCCACAUUGGUUUUAAUUUGUUUCUUUUAUAUUUAUUACCCAAUGGUACAUACUGAGAAAUGUACCUUUCUGAUAUCUGUUUGAAUAGUUUCCAUUUAUCCUCAGUGUUUUUAUCACUAAGGAGUUUAUGCCAGUCGAUAUGUUGUAGAGCUGCCCUAAUCUUAUUGAAAUUGGCUUUUUUUAAAUUAUAUGUUUUAGUAUACCCCACUUGCUUUUGCUUUUUUGAGUUUAUUUCAAAAUUUACCAUAUUGUGAUCACUAUUUCCCAAAUGCUCCCCUACUUGAAUGUUGGUUAAAAGAUCAACAUUGUUUGUUAUGACAAGAUCCAGACAAGCAUCCUUUCUAGUUGGUGCUUGUACCAGUUGUGGCAUAAAGGUGUCAUUUAACAGAUUCAAAAGCCUGAUGCCCCUUGCUGAAGUACUAGUCCCUCUUUCCCAAUUUAUGUCUGGAUAAUUAAUGGACUCCUGCUUUUUUUUUUUUUUUUUAAACCACCACACUUUCACACAUUGUUUUUGAAAUAUAAAUGCACCUUAGUUGCUGCAUCUUUGCAUAUAGGGAGCCCUUGGAAACCCUUCCUAAUUUUUUUAAACUUCAUUUUUAAUAUUAAUCUGUUUGCGGCUGAUUCCUUUCACCAACAUUUUAAAAGCAUGGUUUGUGUAUUGUUUAAGCUUUUCAUGGAAGAAAAUGUGCAUCUUACUGUACUGCAUUGAUUUGAAGAUGUGGUAAGUAUUGAGAACAAACUGAUUCUGUUUAUUUAAAAUUAGUUAUUUUUAGAAAUUACCAUAUGUUACAUAACAGUUAGAAUUAGUAGGCUUUGAAUGGCGGUAUGCAACUCAUUUACUGCUGAUACCAAUAGGACAUAUUCAUGUUCAAUCCUUAUUCUGAUCCCAUAUACUUCUACCACUAAUGCCCCAACUUCUUUUAUACAUCUACAGUUUCUGAUUACUGACCUUGAUUUGUAAUGCAAUUGUGUUUUAUUUGGGUUAAACCAUUGAGAAACAACUUGGGAUACAGUGGAGAUUUAUAUGUUUUAUCUUCUUUCUCUAAAUACAAAGGGCUUAUUUCUGCUGUGAAAAAGAAAACAAUCACAUACUAUAACUUUUCUUGGUAUAUACGUUUGUAUAGUUUUGUAUAUAACCACUGCUUUUAAUAUACUAACCAUUUGAACCAUAAUUUUCAUUUCUACACAAUCUUACAACCUCAAUGUCUUAUCCUUGUUUAGAAACUGUUGCAAAAUGUUGCAAAUUUCCAGAGAAUUCAUGGAUUUUCAUGGAAUGAAAGUACCAGCAACAGUUCACACUGAAGAGAGCCUAAACUAUGCAUGGAAAGAGUUUCAAACACGUGAUGAUGAUAUUUUUAAUGUAACAUUUCCCAAAUCAGGUAAGAUGUUUAGUUUGUAUUUAAGGUUCGAUAAGCCAACCCCUUACUGCCAUUGAGAUAAUUAAGAAUCUUAUUUUUCCUGACAUGGUGGCAGUACAAUAGGGAUGUACUCUUCCCUCGGGACAAGCAUCUAAAAUAAAUUAACAUAAAAAGUUCCUCCCCUUACCAGGUAUAAGAGACCAAACCAGCCCUGGGAUCUCAGUUCUCUUUCUUGUUCCAUCAGGAAUAGACGGCAUCUGGAAUGAGAUGGUGAGGCACAUGGGUUUCUGCCAGGGGGAUCCGGUCUGAUAGCGUCCCUGGUGGAGAGCUGAAUGGCCAGCAAGCAUCCUACAGGAUUACGGAGCAGGUAUGGGAAGCUUGCUUAAUGCCGAGUGCAGUCACAGGCGAAGC